UAACACAUGCAAGUCGAGGGGUAUAGUAGCAAUACUAGAGACCGGCGCACGGGUGCGUAACGCGUAUGCAAUCUACCUUUUACAGAGGGAUAGCCCAGAGAAAUUUGGAUUAAUACCUCAUAGUAUAAUGACUCCGCAUGGAGAUGUUAUUAAAGUCACAACGGUAAAAGAUGAGCAUGCGUCCCAUUAGCUUGUUGGUAAGGUAACGGCUUACCAAGGCUACGAUGGGUAGGGGUCCUGAGAGGGAGAUCCCCCACACUGGUACUGAGACACGGACCAGACUCCUACGGGAGGCAGCAGUGAGGAAUAUUGGUCAAUGGGCGCAAGCCUGAACCAGCCAUGCCGCGUGCAGGAUGACGGUCCUAUGGAUUGUAAACUGCUUUUGCACAGGAAGAAACACUAUCUCGUGAGAUAGCUUGACGGUACUGUGAGAAUAAGGAUCGGCUAACUCCGUGCCAGCAGCCGCGGUAAUACGGAGGAUCCAAGCGUUAUCCGGAAUCAUUGGGUUUAAAGGGUCCGUAGGCGGGUUAAUAAGUCAGUGGUGAAAGCCCUACGCUCAACGUAGGAACGGCCAUUGAUACUGUUAGUCUUGAAUUAUUAGGAAGUAACUAGAAUAUGUAGUGUAGCGGUGAAAUGCUUAGAGAUUACAUGGAAUACCAAUUGCGAAGGCAGGUUACUACUAAUGGAUUGACGCUGAUGGACGAAAGCGUGGGUAGCGAACAGGAUUAGAUACCCUGGUAGUCCACGCCGUAAACGAUGGAUACUAGCUGUUCGGAGCAAUCUGAGUGGCUAAGCGAAAGUGAUAAGUAUCCCACCUGGGGGGUACGUUCGCAAGAAUGAAACUCAAAGGAAUUGACGGGGGCCCGCACAAGCGGUGGAGCAUGUGGUUUAAUUCGAUGAUACGCGAGGAACCUUACCAAGGCUUAAAUGUAGAUUGACCGGGUUUGGAAACAGACUUUUCGCAAGACAAUUUACAAGGUGCUGCAUGAUGUCGUCAGCUCGUGCCGUGAGGUGUCAGAUUAAGUCCUAUAACGAGCGCCACCCCUGGUUGUUUAGUUGCCAGCGAAGUCAUGGUCGGGG
RNAcentral lists this ribosomal RNA (1080 nucleotides) under uncultured bacterium. RNAcentral's name for it is "bacterial SSU rRNA". It matches the Rfam family "Bacterial small subunit ribosomal RNA", at positions 49 to 1136 of the family's 1533-position model. The record is from RNAcentral.